RNAcentral lists this long non-coding RNA (394 nucleotides) under Pandoravirus quercus. RNAcentral describes it as "hypothetical ncRNA". The record is from RNAcentral.
CGGCGUCACCGGCGACAGCGCUGCCGUGAUGGUGGAAAAGGCCAGAAUGCCCGAACCGCCUCCGCCGCCGCCGCCCGUAGAGUCAAUGGGCGAGCCGCCGCCGGCACCGCCGCCACCGACAAGGUAGACCGUGGCGGCCGUGGCACCCGCCGGAAUGACAAAGGUGCUCGUCGUCGUGAUGACCGUCGUCACGGGCGUCGGCGGGACCGGAGGCGUCGGCGGGAUGACCGGAGGAAUGAAGGGCGGGCACGGGCACGGCCGCGGGCAGGGCACCCGCUGCGCCGGCAGCACCACCUUGAUCUUGCAUGUGUAUCGCUUGUCGCCUCCCUUGCCCAUUUUUUUUGUCUGUCCUUUUUUGCUUCGAUUACUUUUUUUGACUGGCUACGAGUCUGUC